UUUAUUUCAUAUGUAACCUGGUUGUAAUUCUCUUUUGUUAUAAUUACACAAAAUGUCUUUUUUUGAUUAUUUGUCUUGUUCCUUAUCUUACUGAAAAAACCUCUGUCAUUGUUUUAACCGUGUUACUUUAAGAUUGAAGCCCUCCCUUUUAUUUCUUCUUCUGUGGUAUUGUCUUUAAAUUGUUUGCGCCCCUUAGCCCCUCCCCUUUUGUCAUGUUGUCCUGCGGGAGAGGACUUGGAGCGGGCAGCCUUUAACACGGUUGUUUUGUUUGUAUUCUUGACAGGUAUGUUGUACAAAAAUGUUUAUUUAGUUUUUUUGUAAGUUGUGAGAGGUGUUUCCCCGCCCCUUUUGUCAUGUUGUCCUGCGGGAGAGGACUUGGAGCGGGCAGCCUUUAACACGGUUGUUUUGUUUGUAUUCUUGACAGAAAUAAACCGAGAAUCAUCUUUUAAA
Long non-coding RNA from Poecilia latipinna (sailfin molly), 450 nucleotides. RefSeq lists it as uncharacterized. The record is from RefSeq and is a predicted model, not a curated record. Lineage: Eukaryota; Metazoa; Chordata; Actinopteri; Cyprinodontiformes; Poeciliidae. The transcript has 3 exons.